GCAGUCGGACGGCAGCACAGAGAAGCUUGCUUCUUGGGUGGCGAGUGGCGAACGGGUGAGUAAUAUAUCGGAACGUACCGAGUAGUGGGGGAUAACUAAUCGAAAGAUUAGCUAAUACCGCAUAUUCUCUGAGGAGGAAAGCUGGGGACCUUCGGGCCUAGCGCUAUUUGAGCGGCCGAUAUCUGAUUAGCUAGUUGGUGGGGUAAAGGCCUACCAAGGCGACGAUCAGUAGCGGGUCUGAGAGGAUGAUCCGCCACACUGGGACUGAGACACGGCCCAGACUCCUACGGGAGGCAGCAGUGGGGAAUUUUGGACAAUGGGCGCAAGCCUGAUCCAGCCAUGCCGCGUGUAUGAAGAAGGCCUUCGGGUUGUAAAGUACUUUUGUCAGGGAAGAAAAGCAUAGUGCUAAUAUCACUGUGUGAUGACGGUACCUGAAGAAUAAGCACCGGCUAACUACGUGCCAGCAGCCGCGGUAAUACGUAGGGUGCGAGCGUUAAUCGGAAUUACUGGGCGUAAAGCGAGCGCAGACGGUUAGUUAAGCAAGAUGUGAAAUCCCCGGGCUCAACCUGGGAACUGCGUUUUGAACUGGCUAGCUAGAGUGUGUCAGAGGGGGGUAGAAUUCCACGUGUAGCAGUGAAAUGCGUAGAGAUGUGGAGGAAUACCGAUGGCGAAGGCAGCCCCCUGGGAUAACACUGACGUUCAUGCUCGAAAGCGUGGGUAGCAAACAGGAUUAGAUACCCUGGUAGUCCACGCCCUAAACGAUGUCAAUUAGCUGUUGGGCAACUUGAUUGCUUAGUAGCGUAGCUAACGCGUGAAAUUGACCGCCUGGGGAGUACGGUCGCAAGAUUAAAACUCAAAGGAAUUGACGGGGACCCGCACAAGCGGUGGAUGAUGUGGAUUAAUUCGAUGCAACGCGAAGAACCUUACCUGGUCUUGACAUGUACGGAAUCCUCCAGAGACGGAGGAGUGCCUUCGGGA
Molecule: ribosomal RNA, 978 nt
Filed under: Neisseria sp.
Lineage: Bacteria; Pseudomonadati; Pseudomonadota; Betaproteobacteria; Neisseriales; Neisseriaceae
Description: bacterial SSU rRNA
Rfam family: Bacterial small subunit ribosomal RNA
Source: RNAcentral